This is a long non-coding RNA of Diorhabda carinulata, 3044 nucleotides long. RefSeq lists it as uncharacterized. The transcript is spliced from 4 exons. The record is from RefSeq and is a predicted model, not a curated record. NCBI's taxonomy places the organism in Eukaryota, Metazoa, Arthropoda, Insecta, Coleoptera, Chrysomelidae.
GAUAACUAUUACCAAAAAUAUCUACUCUGUAGUUAAUCGAAACGAAUAUGACGUCUUCUUCGAGGAAAUAAUCAGGAGCUUGCAAUUUGUAUCCAGCGUCACCACACAUGAAAAAUCCACCAUGGAUGUAUACUAUUACAGAAAGGUUUCCGUUACGGAGGGGACACGCAGCUCUUCAGGGAGGCAAUCAUCGCAGCUCCUACCGGGGGCGCGUAGAACUGCUUAAUACAUUUGCAAUUUGUACUGACCUUUUUUUUGCUUGUCUAGACGGUUAACGCUGGGCGGCAAGAUAAAUAGAAAAAGAAAUGUAACACUUGCUUUUUGGCCUUGGUAGUGUGCGUCUGAUUAUUAUUGCGCUACUAUGUUAUAAUAUAUUUAUAUAUUAUGUAUUUUGGUUGAUGUCAAUUAGCAAGAGUGUAUAAAUGUUUUAGUUUCAAUGUACAAUUUAGUUAAACAGUAAAUACAGUCCACUACUUAGUGGUUUAUAGUUUAAUGAUGUAGUAAAGGUGAAUAAGAAGAAAGUUUAGUGUUUUAUUUGCCGUUACAAAUGAACUAAAAAAUAACGUAAUCAGGAAUCUCCUGUACAGUGAUAUUUCUUUAAACUUCAUCAAUUGGAGUGGAACAUUGGGAACUACUUUCAAUAACGGUUUCUUUUAACCAAAAUUGAUAUGCAGCAAGCCUGUAAACACUAACUUCUGUCAUAUUGGAACAUGUCGAAACUAUAUUUCUAACAGUAGCAGCCGGUAUUUGAUGUACAACGGCGGAACGUAAGCGACUCUAAGCAAAACAAAUUUGGGCGAGACCAAGUUUCACCGUAUAUACCUGCAAAACUUCUAGGUAGUCAUUAGAAUAAUUCCUAGUAGGACCCUAUUGUAAUGUUUUUUGGAAAUGUUAUUAUCGACAUUUCGAAAAUCAGAAAGUAAUUAUCUGGAGAAUGAAUUGAUAAAUGGUUUGUUAAUAUGUCUACCAAGAAUUGAGCAGCGCCAAAUUCUCAAGGUAAUUAAUGAAAUAUCAGAAUAGUUGAGUUACAAGAUUAUUUCAAAAAUAAUUUAUUGUUUUAACUGCACGUACUCUACAAAUGUAUGAAGGGCAGUUACUUGUUUUAACUAACCGAAUUUAGAUUUAUAUUACUUUUAUAUAUCAGAUCGGGUAUAAAAUUAAAUAGUAAAUAAAUUCUUUAGAUGAACGGUGCUGUCAGACAAUAAGAAACAGACUUUAAUUAGUUUUCUAUAUUUCUGAUACACAAAAAGCAAUUGACUUUUAAAUCGGUUUUAUGCAGGCAAAAAAUUCUCAUUCAACCCCUCAUUUCUGAGAAAUUAUGAAAUUAGAACUUAUAUUUGAGUAUAUUUCCUAAAUUAUACAUUCGAACAGGGGUGCGGCAUAUACCCAUUGGUUAACAAUCCAUAACAUUUACAGGGACAACCUGUACAUUAUCCUGACAAUCUUUAAAUCGAUUUUUUAACAGAAAGAUACUCUUUGUUUAACUCGAUAAAAUUUAUGGUUUAGGAGAUAUGUAGAUUUGCCAUAAAGAGACAUUCUGAAGAAAACUAUCAUAAAUUAUAAAUUUACAGUUACAGGACAUACGUUAUCAUCCAUUAAAGAUUCAUCAUCUUCGAAUGUAUAAUUUAGAAAAUAUACUUAAAUAUAAGUUCUGAUUUCGUAAUUUUAAAUGCCUACACUCCCGAAUUUUUUGCUUCAAAUUUUCUGUAUCUGACGAAUUGCGGUAUCAUUUGAUGAUGCAAUAUUUGCUCAAUUUUUAAAAAAAUUAGUAAAAUAAUAUGAAUGUACUUACCAAAAACGACAAAUAUAAUCAAAUAUGUGUAAUUAUGGCUUGUGUGACUUUCUAUAUGCAUUGUAGCCGCAAAAAGACUUAUGAAUAUCAAUAAAGCAUAGAGGAAUGCAUAUUUUUGGUCCUUCUACAAACAAAUGUCUUGAUUUACUUAUUACAGAUUUAAAAAUGUACCAAGUAGCUAGUCAAGAAGAAACUUUACUUGUUAAUAUAUUAUUGCCACAUCAAUCUUAGAUAUAGAUAAGACUGAUGUGAUCUAUACUAUCACAAAUAUAUUACACCAGUUAAUCAUAUAUUAAAUUAAAUCUCUACUAUGUAUGUAUGGAUUUGGAAUCCGACCAAAGGAUCUAUUUUAUCCCCCUUCCUUGCUACGAUACUGGAAAACCCUCUGAUUACAGCUGAUCCAUCAAUCCCACUCCUUUUAAAAAGUCAAGAAUGUGGGAUGGCUUUAAUUACUAGAGAUCUUCGUCUUCUAUUUCAUACGCACCCAGGUAUAGUGCUCUGGGGUUCCUUAGUGCUUCACACUUCGAGAAAAUGUGGAUAGAGAUUUCGUCCUCUGUGCAACAAAAUCUUCAGGCCGCGUAUAUCUGUUAGGUCUAGCGUCUUCGGGUGUUUGUUGAGGCGACAGUGCCCAAAUAGAACUCCUGUUAGUAUUUGUAGAUUACUCUUACUUAGGUUGACACAUUCAGCAGAUCUACUCUGGUUAUAGUUUUCCAGAAGAGUCUUUGCCUGUCUCAGUCCCUGUAGGUUGUCCCAAUAAUUCCAAUAUUUUCCAAUGCUUUUUCCAUUGUUCUGUAGCUGAUACCACAGUAGGGUUCGAAUCCCAUGAAGGGUUUGUAUGCCUUCGUUAGAAUCUAGACUAGAAUAUUCCUUAACCAUAUAAAACGAGUGCGACGGUACGACGUGAAUCAGUUGAGUCGAGUAAUCGAAGCGAUACGGUUGGAGAAGGAUUAUAAUUGUACAGGGAAGUAGUGAUUGUGAAGAUUGUGCAUUUGUUUGUGUCAUGCGCGUGCGAUAUCCAUAAUUGUUGUAUCGAGUUCUAUAAUUGUUAUAAUUUUGGCAUAAUGCCACUAAAAAGUUGAUAGAAGGUGCAGAGUUUUUCAGUCUAAUUGGGAAAUUGCAUAUUUUUUCAUAGAAUGGAAAGGUAAAAUACUGAAUACUGAAUUCGACUGAAAAAAAGAAUCGACACAUAGUCAACGAAUAUACACAAUUUUAUAAAUAAAACUAAUAAAGAAUUUGCGUAUCGACUUAAAAA